GUCAAGAUGGGGUUUACAUUUCCCUUCUACAUGUGAUUCAUCACAAGAUUCGAUCAUUUUGUUUGCAAACUCUUUCUCUCAGGCAUUGAAGUUGUCGCGAGGUCACGAGGCGAUACAAUCCUCAGGCCCCUGGAGCUGAGACCGCUGUGGCUAUAAAGGUCAACGCCUCCCUCUUGUGUCAGCUGUUUGGACUCUCAUUCUAUGGCACCCGUUUACUACAGAGAUUUAUUGGUGGGUAAGCGAUGUAACGCUUAAUUUUCUCCAAAUCUGUUCCAGUGAAGAAAUCUCUUCUACAUCUGGAUGACCACAAUGAAAGCAAGUAAUGCAUCUUUGGACCGACAUCAGUAAAUCAUGACAUGAUUCCAGGUAAACCAUCCCUUUAAAGCAGGGGUCACCAGACUCGGGCCUGGAGGGUCACUGUCCUGCAGAGUUUUGCUCCAACCAUGAUAAACACACCUGAACCAGCUAAUCAAGGUCUUACUAGGUAUACAUGAAACUUCCAGGCAGAUGUGUUGGAGCUAAACUCUGCAGGAGAUCCUUGUUUUAGAGUUUAAAAUCCACUUUGUUAAAUUUAGUAUGGAAAUAUGUGAAAAGACGUGCGUAUUGAAACCUUUUGAUUGAUUUAAAAUAUGGUUAGGGCUUUAUUAAAAGGACUUGUUUGUACAGUCGGUCACUAGAUGGCGCCAAUUAAUUUAUUUUCAUAUUAGUUUAUCGUUUGACGUAGGAAGUCCCUUCUGCUUUUAAUGUCUUUUGAAAAUAACUGUUGGUUAUCAAUAUGAUUUCUUUCCACAGUAAAA
This is a long non-coding RNA of Carassius auratus (goldfish), 797 nucleotides long. RefSeq lists it as uncharacterized. The record is from RefSeq and is a predicted model, not a curated record. NCBI's taxonomy places the organism in Eukaryota, Metazoa, Chordata, Actinopteri, Cypriniformes, Cyprinidae. The transcript has 4 exons.